UCUUUUUCCACCGGAGCUUGCUCCACCGGAAAAAGANGAGCUGGCGAACGGGUGAGUAACACGUGGGUAACCUGCCCAUCAGAAGGGGAUAACACUUGGAAACAGGUGCUAAUACCGUAUAACAAUCNAAACCGCAUGGUUUUGAUUUGAAAGGCGCUUUCGGGUGUCGCUGAUGGAUGGACCCGCGGUGCAUUAGCUAGUUGGUGAGGUAACGGCUCACCAAGGCCACGAUGCAUAGCCGACCUGAGAGGGUGAUCGGCCACAUUGGGACUGAGACACGGCCCAAACUCCUACGGGAGGCAGCAGUAGGGAAUCUUCGGCAAUGGACGAAAGUCUGACCGAGCAACGCCGCGUGAGUGAAGAAGGUUUUCGGAUCGUAAAACUCUGUUGUUAGAGAAGAACAAGGAUGAGAGUAACUGUUCAUCCCUUGACGGUAUCUAACCAGAAAGCCACGGCUAACUACGUGCCAGCAGCCGCGGUAAUACGUAGGUGGCAAGCGUUGUCCGGAUUUAUUGGGCGUAAAGCGAGCGCAGGCGGUUUCUUAAGUCUGAUGUGAAAGCCCCCGGCUCAACCGGGGAGGGUCAUUGGAAACUGGGAGACUUGAGUGCAGAAGAGGAGAGUGGAAUUCCAUGUGUAGCGGUGAAAUGCGUAGAUAUAUGGAGGAACACCAGUGGCGAAGGCGGCUCUCUGGUCUGUAACUGACGCUGAGGCUCGAAAGCGUGGGGAGCAAACAGGAUUAGAUACCCUGGUAGUCCACGCCGUAAACGAUGAGUGCUAAGUGUUGGAGGGUUUCCGCCCUUCAGUGCUGCAGCUAACGCAUUAAGCACUCCGCCUGGGG
Molecule: ribosomal RNA, 838 nt
Filed under: Enterococcus durans
Lineage: Bacteria; Bacillati; Bacillota; Bacilli; Lactobacillales; Enterococcaceae
Description: bacterial SSU rRNA
Rfam family: Bacterial small subunit ribosomal RNA
Source: RNAcentral